AGGUUGUAUGAAAGGAGGGAAGAUUAGCACUCUCCUUGACAAGGAUGGAAGAGGUCCUAGUGGCCUUCAGCACACAUAUGGUUAAGGCAUGAGGCACAGGUCCUGGAGGAAAUGGGGUCCUUGGACCAGGAGCAUUA
Small nuclear RNA from Scleropages formosus (Asian bonytongue), 137 nucleotides. Lineage: Eukaryota; Metazoa; Chordata; Actinopteri; Osteoglossiformes; Osteoglossidae. The record is from Ensembl.